ACGAACGCUGGCGGCAGGCCUAACACCUGCAAGUCGAGCGAGCAUUUCGGUGCUAGCGGCGGACGGGUGAGUAACGCGUGGGAACGUGCCCUUUUCUGCGGAAUAGUCCUGGGAAACUGGGGGUAAUACCGCAUACGCCCUUUUGGGGAAAGAUUUAUCGGAGAAGGAUCGGCCCGCGUUGGAUUAGGUAGUUGGUGGGGUAAUGGCCCACCAAGCCGACGAUCCAUAGCUGGUUUGAGAGGAUGAUCAGCCACACUGGGACUGAGACACGGCCCAGACUCCUACGGGAGGCAGCAGUGGGGAAUCUUAGACAAUGGGGGCAACCCUGAUCUAGCCAUGCCGCGUGAGUGAUGAAGGCCUUAGGGUUGUAAAGCUCUUUCAGCUGGGAAGAUAAUGACGGUACCAGCAGAAGAAGCCCCGGCUAACUCCGUG
This 432-nucleotide ribosomal RNA is filed under the name uncultured bacterium. RNAcentral describes it as "partial 16S ribosomal RNA". It matches the Rfam family "Bacterial small subunit ribosomal RNA", at positions 29 to 507 of the family's 1533-position model. The record is from RNAcentral.